This 262-nucleotide long non-coding RNA is filed under the name Phoenix dactylifera (date palm). Its description in RNAcentral is "long non-coding RNA (PDAC_LNC017363)". The record is from RNAcentral. Lineage: Eukaryota; Viridiplantae; Streptophyta; Magnoliopsida; Arecales; Arecaceae.
GAAUGGGUUUUGUUAUGGUCUGAUUGAACCAGUGAUCAGUAGAAUGGAUUGAGUUUGAGUUGAAUCCGAUUGGAUCUGUGGGCUAGUUUGGUUUGGGCCUAAGAUCUGAUCUGGACCUGUAAUCUGGUUUGAUUCAAUUGGGCCCAAUCUGUUUUGGGCCACAAUUAGCUGUGGGUUUAAAGGGUUCUGAUUUUGGGGUUUUGGUUUACCUGUUCUUAGGGUCUAUGUCUGAUCUUAGGGGCCCAUUCUUGGAUCUAUGAAC